Molecule: long non-coding RNA, 770 nt
Organism: Ictalurus punctatus (channel catfish)
Lineage: Eukaryota; Metazoa; Chordata; Actinopteri; Siluriformes; Ictaluridae
Source: Ensembl
GUCAGAUGAGAUCAGGCUUUGUCAGAGUGGUAUGGCCGUAACCGAAAGCUGACCCCAAAUGGGGCCUAUUUAAAUAGUGUAAUCAAAAGACUGACUGACUGAUUGAUUGAUUGGGUCCCCUUCAAACCUGUGUCCAACCUUUAUCCCAAAACAGGAUGUUGUGCAGAGGCCAUGAAAACACUGAUCCAAAUAAAAAGCUUACAGCACCUAGUAUUCCCAUUCAGUCUCCCAACCAAGUACUAACCAGGCCCGACUCUGCUUUGCUUCCAAGGUCAGAUGAGAUCAGGCUUUUUCAGAGUGGUGUGGCCGUAAGCGAAAGCUGACCCCAAAUGGGGCCUAUUUAAAUAGUGUAAUCAAAAGACUGACUGACUGAUUGAUUGAUUGAUUGAUUGGGUCCCCUUCAAACCUGUGUCCAACCUUUAUCCCAAAACAGGAUGUUGUGCAGAGGCCAUGAAAACACUGAUCCAAAUAAAAAGCUUACAGCACCUAGUAUUCCCAUUCAGUCUCCCAACCAAGUACUAACCAGGCCCAGCUCUGCUUUGCUUCCGAGGUCAGAUGAGAUCAGGCUUUUUCAGAUGGGUAUGGCCGUAAGCAAAAGCUGACCCCAAAUGGGGCCUAUUUAAAUAGUGAAAUCGAAAGACUGACUGACUGACUGACUGAUUGAUUGAUUGAUCGAUUGAUUGGGUCCCCUUCAAACCUGUGUCCAACCUUUAUCCCAAAACAGGAUGUUGUGCAGAGGCCAUGAAAACACUGAUCCAAAUAAAAAGCUU